Molecule: unclassified non-coding RNA, 338 nt
Filed under: soil metagenome
Description: partial contains 5.8S ribosomal RNA, internal transcribed spacer 2, and large subunit ribosomal RNA
Rfam family: 5.8S ribosomal RNA (bases 1-120)
Source: RNAcentral
GAUGAAGAACGUAGCGAAAUGCGAUAAGUAAUGUGAAUUGCAGAAUUCAGUGAAUCAUCGAAUCUUUGAACGCACAUUGCGCCCUCUGGUAUUCCGGAGGGCAUGCCUGUUCGAGCGUCAUUUCAACCCUCAAGCAUUGCUUGGUGUUGGGGCACCGCCUGUAAAGGGGCGGGCCCUGAAAUCUAGUGGCGAGCUCGCCAGGACCCCGAGCGUAGUAAUUAUAUUUCGUUCUGGAAGGCCCUGGCGGUGCCCUGCCGUUAAACCCCCAACUUCUGAAAAUUUGACCUCGGAUCAGGUAGGAAUACCCGCUGAACUUAAGCAUAUCAAUAAGCGGAGGA